ACGCGUAAUCACCUGCCCUUCAGAGGGGGACAACAGUUGAAAGGUGGCCUCUACAUGUAAGCUAUCACUGAAGGAGGGGAUUGCGUCUGAUUAGCUAGUUGGAGGGGUAACGGCCCACCAAGGCGAUGAUCAGUAGCCGGUCUGAGAGGAUGAACGGCCACAUUGGGACUGAGACACGGCCCAGACUCCUACGGGAGGCAGCAGUGGGGAAUCUUCCGCAAUGGACGAAAGUCUGACGGAGCAACGCCGCGUGAGUGAUGACGGGCUUCGGGUUGUAAAGCUCUGUUAAUCGGGACGAAAGGCCUUUCUUGCGAAUAGUGAGAAGGAUUGACGGACCGGAAUAG
This 344-nucleotide ribosomal RNA is filed under the name Veillonella sp. oral taxon E90. RNAcentral describes it as "bacterial SSU rRNA". It matches the Rfam family "Bacterial small subunit ribosomal RNA", at positions 113 to 486 of the family's 1533-position model. The record is from RNAcentral. Lineage: Bacteria; Bacillati; Bacillota; Negativicutes; Veillonellales; Veillonellaceae.